GACGAACGCUGGCGGCGUGCUUAACACAUGCAAGUCGAACGGAAAGGCCCUGCUUUUGUGGGGUGCUCGAGUGGCGAACGGGUGAGUAACACGUGAGUAACCUGCCCUUGACUUUGGGAUAACUUCAGGAAACUGGGGCUAAUACCGGAUAGGAGCUCCUGCUGCAUGGUGGGGGUUGGAAAGUUUCGGCGGUUGGGGAUGGACUCGCGGCUUAUCAGCUUGUUGGUGGGGUAGUGGCUUACCAAGGCUUUGACGGGUAGCCGGCCUGAGAGGGUGACCGGCCACAUGGGGGCUGAGAUACGGCCCAGACUCCUACGGGGGGCAGCGGGGGGAAAUAUGGCACAGUGGGGGGAAGCGUGAUGCAGCAGCGCCGCGGGGGGGAUGACGGCCUUCGGGUUGUAACCCGCUUUCGCCUGUGACGAAGCGGGAGUGAGGGUAAGGGGAAAAGAAGCCCCGGCUAACUACGUG
This 468-nucleotide ribosomal RNA is filed under the name uncultured bacterium. RNAcentral describes it as "partial 16S ribosomal RNA". It matches the Rfam family "Bacterial small subunit ribosomal RNA", at positions 28 to 507 of the family's 1533-position model. The record is from RNAcentral.